Molecule: transfer RNA, 75 nt
Filed under: uncultured bacterium
Lineage: Bacteria
Description: tRNA-Met
Rfam family: tRNA
About the family: Transfer RNA (tRNA) molecules are approximately 80 nucleotides in length. Their secondary structure includes four short double-helical elements and three loops (D, anti-codon, and T loops).
Source: RNAcentral
GCCGGGAUAGCUCAGUGGUAGAGCGGGGGUCUCAUAAGCCCCAUGUCGGUGGUUCGAUUCCACCUCCCGGUACCA